CCUUUAAAGCCUGACUAAAGAUUAUUAAAACAUGAUUUCAAAAACACUUUAAAUAAAACUUUUAAUUUGACAUUAUUACAAAGUGCACUUUUUAAAAGUGAAAGUGUCUCUCUUUAAGUGCACUAAGGUGUCCUUUUAUUUAAUUAAUAUAUUAUCUGAAAGUACUGAUUUUUUUAGAAAUAUACAACUAUGAUUUGAAGCACACUCCAAGUGCACAUUCGAUACUAUUAAGUGCACUUCUUUUUCACAAGCAAGAUUAAUGAUCACAACAAUAUUAGCCCUAAUAGUGUCAUACAACAAACCACUAUGUGUUUUCAUUUGCACGGGUGUUUUUAAAGUGCAACAGGUGCUACAGAGUACUUGUGGAAAACCAUGGCACUUGUGGCGUCUGUCUUUUACUGGACACUGUGAAGAUCCCCGGCUCAGCAGCUGCACUCCGACCCGAAACCUUAACCACUGUACGGCGAGGCCCUGACCGAUGGCCUGCUGUGAGUCUGCAGCCUCCAAACUCAGCUGUGUCUGUUGUGCAGGAGGAAAUGUUGGUUAAUGAGUAGCCUGUGCUGAGUUGUGGCCCUCUGCUACAGGUGUGGGGGCCAAGGACAGCAGCUGAUAAGACUAGACAUGACCAGGAGAGGGGGAAGAGAGAACAACCGCAAAACAGAGGGAGGACUGGAGGAGGUGUUGCGGAGAUAUCAAUGAGCUGGCGUUACUAAGAGAUGAGCCUGGAUUCAUCAGCAUAUAACGGUAUCUGGCCCACUUCUACAUGCCUUUUACACUAUACAGCUGCUGGAUUGGAGAUUGGAGAAGUAUUUUAACACUGAAAAAAUUAUACAUCACUUUUAAGCAACCAGGUAGAUAAGAGGGCUAAAAGGAAAAGCGUUAGGCCAGAUGCAAAGCGGAGUGCCUGCAACCCACUGAGCCACGACUAUAAUCAUUAGCAUGACUUUAAGUACCUUCUAUGAAACGGUUACUGCAUAACAAAAAUAUUAAGAACAUGAAACAUUAAUGAAAGGGUGUUUCUUCAACUAAAGGCACUUUUAGCCCUGUUAACCUAUAUAUAGAUAUAUCUUAGUAUACACUUUCAUAUUUCAUAUAAACUCC
This is a long non-coding RNA of Cyprinus carpio (common carp), 1101 nucleotides long. The record is from Ensembl. NCBI's taxonomy places the organism in Eukaryota, Metazoa, Chordata, Actinopteri, Cypriniformes, Cyprinidae.